Molecule: long non-coding RNA, 2003 nt
Organism: Gossypium arboreum
Lineage: Eukaryota; Viridiplantae; Streptophyta; Magnoliopsida; Malvales; Malvaceae
Exons: 6
Source: RefSeq, a predicted model, not a curated record
UUCUAAUUCUAACAGCUCACUGCCCAAAUCGACACAUUUUCUUGCUGAUCUCCCCGUUUCGCCGACCAAAAAUCUACCCAGCAGAAUUAAUGUCAUCUCAAAGCAAGUAAAAUCCAAUGUUUUUGUCGAAAAAAUAGAAGUUACAACCCUAAAUUCGGAUUGCCACUCGGUCAUAAAAUUUGUUGAAAUUAGAAACCCCAAUAAUUCCAAGGGCAAACAACCUAUUAAUAUUUCUUCACGGACACAAGAUGAAAGAAAUGUUGGUUCAGAUGCAUUGAAAAUGGGAGAUACUAAACGUCCAAGGAAGACUCCCAUAUUCUUCUGGUUAAAGGAAGUAAAUUUAAGGUUAGGGCUAAUUCUUGUGAAUCGGUUGUUGAAGCGAUGUCAAAGGUGGUUGCAAAAACCGAGUCUGACAGUUAAUUAUGGAUUCAAGUUAGGACAGGGGGCUUUGACGGAUCUUAGUGAGGUGGCUAACCUAAAUGUUUAAGGAUUGGAUGUUGGCAAACUUUAGGAAUGUUUUUGGUCUAGAAUAUUAGAAUGUGAUGUGGCAAUCUCUCUUUGGAAUUAUAUGUUGGAAGCUUUGGAAACAAAUGAAUCUUAAGAUUUUCCAAGGGAUUCUUUCUGAUGCUGCCAAUAUUCUACAAUUUGAAUGGUGUUGGAUGAGUUAUAUUAAGUCGAAGAUUAGCAGACUAGUGGUUCUAUGAGUAAUCGACGUGGAAAUUAUAGGUGGAUCCCGUCACUUUUUGGUUCGAUCAAAAUAGAUGCUGAUGGUGCCCACAAUCUGUUUUUAGGCCUUGUAUCUUCGACAACAGUGGCAAGAGAUGAACAUGGUAGGUGGCUUUAGAGGAUUGGGAGAAAAUUGGAAGAUGUAGUGUUGAACAAGUUGAACUUUAGGCUAUUUAUGAUGGAUUUCAUCUUGCAUGGGAUUUUAAUUGGAAGGAGGUUAUUCUUGAGAAUAACUGCGCUCAGGCUAUUAAAGGUAUUCAUGGAGGCUUCAAAGGACAAGCAAAUAGAGAUUUGAAAUUACUUAUCCAAGAAUUAGGCAUUCCUGAUUGGCAAGUUGUCAUUAAAAAUAUUCUAAAAGAAGCGAAUUUCGCCCCGCAUAUCUUGCAUUUAAGAGCAAAAAGGAGCAAAAAACGAGCGAAAAUCGAAAAAUUGGAGAAAGUUACAAGAGCCACACAAUCUGAUCCAUUCCACACGGCCUGGACACACGGUCGUGUGAGCCACACAGCCUGUGUAAGGCCCUGAAAAUGUUUCGGGAGGAAUGUGCAAAUCAAAAUUGAAGCUCAAACUUGCUUAUUUAAGCACAUUUUUGCUUAAAGAGCUAAGUGUGGAGAGAAAUUCUGGGUGUAAAGAGUUGAAAAGCGAGUGUAAGGGUAAUCCAAGAAUAAGGCUCGGUACUGGCUUAAGAAAUUUACUUUAGGCUCUAUAUAGAGGUAUUGCGAUGUUUUUGGGACUAGUGUUAUUUUACUUGUAAUGGACAUUGUACAUUAAAUUUUGGAAUUUAAUUUUGGUGAUUUUAUAAUUACUUUAAUACAUAAUUUAUGUCUAAUUGAUGUUUGAUUUAUGGUGUAUUCAUGAGUGUUCGUACGGUGGUUGAUAACACGGUGUAUGAAGCAUGUAUUUUAUAAUAACAAUGUUUAAUUGAAGCUUACCAUGGAGGGGAUUGCUUGCGACUAAGGUUUUUCAGACAUUCUAAGACGUAUAUAUGAAAAAAAAUAAGAAGAGAGGAGUAAGCCGUCAUGGAAUAUUCAAGAAAACAACUCGAAGAACACCAUUGAAGUCGACUCUGAAGCAGACUUCCAUCAAGAUUGAAGACUCCCAUUUGAUUUAUUUAGAGAUUAUCAUGAGUUUCUUUGUUUCUUGCAAUUAUAAUGUAUCUUGGAUGUUUCCAUUUUUAAGCAUGAACUAAUUUUCUAAAAACCUAGGGAUAUGAACCCUAUGAUAGAUUCUGUUGUUUGAUUUUUUAUUUAGGGAAUAAAUUCUUAGUUUCUUAUUCUCAA